AGGCGACGAUCCCUAGCUGGUCUGAGAGGAUGACCAGCCACACUGGAACUGAGACACGGUCCAGACUCCUACGGGAGGCAGCAGUGGGGAAUAUUGCACAAUGGGCGCAAGCCUGAUGCAGCCAUGCCGCGUGUAUGAAGAAGGCCUUCGGGUUGUAAAGUACUUUCAGCGGGGAGGAAGGGAGUAAAGUUAAUACCUUUGCUCAUUGACGUUACCCGCAGAAGAAGCACCGGCUAACUCCGUGCCAGCAGCCGCGGUAAUACGGAGGGUGCAAGCGUUAAUCGGAAUUACUGGGCGUAAAGCGCACGCAGGCGGUUUGUUAAGUCAGAUGUGAAAUCCCCGGGCUCAACCUGGGAACUGCAUCUGAUACUGGCAAGCUUGAGUCUCGUAGAGGGGGGUAGAAUUCCAGGUGUAGCGGUGAAAUGCGUAGAGAUCUGGAGGAAUACCGGUGGCGAAGGCGGCCCCCUGGACGAAGACUGAC
This 481-nucleotide ribosomal RNA is filed under the name Escherichia coli. RNAcentral describes it as "bacterial SSU rRNA". It matches the Rfam family "Bacterial small subunit ribosomal RNA", at positions 271 to 744 of the family's 1533-position model. Lineage: Bacteria; Pseudomonadati; Pseudomonadota; Gammaproteobacteria; Enterobacterales; Enterobacteriaceae. The record is from RNAcentral. RNAcentral also lists the same sequence under 1 other name.